AACGAACGCUGGCGGCAGGCUUAACACAUGCAAGUCGAACGCCCCGCAAGGGGAGUGGCAGACGGGUGAGUAACACGUGGGAACAUGCCCAAAGGUACGGAACAACUCCGGGAAACUGGAGCUAAUACCGUAUGUGCCCGAAAGGGGAAAGAUUUAUCGCCUUUGGAUUGGCCCUCGUCGGAUUAGCUAGUUGGUGGGUUAAAAGCCUACCAAGGCGACGAUCCGUAGCUGGUUUGAGAGAACGACCAGCCACACUGGGCCUGAGACACGGCCCAGACCCCGACGGGAGGCAGCAAUGGGGAAUCUUGGACAAUGGGCGCAAGCCUGAUCCAGCCAGGCCGCGUGGAUGAUGAAGUCCUUAGGGUUGUAAAAUCCUUUCGGCUGUGAAGAUAAUGACAGUAGCAGAAGAAGAAGCCCCGGCUAAAUUCGUGCCAGCAGCCGCGGUAA
This 447-nucleotide ribosomal RNA is filed under the name uncultured bacterium. RNAcentral's name for it is "partial 16S ribosomal RNA". It matches the Rfam family "Bacterial small subunit ribosomal RNA", at positions 29 to 523 of the family's 1533-position model. The record is from RNAcentral.